CCGAUAUAUUCUCCUAGCAUUCUCUCACAGUUCACAUCAGGAGUAGCUGAGAAGUCCAACCUGGAAUAUCGAGUAAGUCCAUUAUGAGAGGAUGUUCCAGUUGAUACCGAUGAGCAAUCAAUCCUGGUAUGGAGAAAGAAUCUCUUUCUUUCUGUUAGAUUGAGAUUAAAGUAUUUCCAAGUUAUGUAAUAAUCCAGCAGCUUCUUUGGUGUCUAGAUAUAAUGCUUUACAAUAUGAAGGUAACUCAUCAUGAAACCAUAACAUAAACUUUUGCCAUCAUGAUGUAUUAGUAGUGAAAGGAAAACCCCAAGUGAUAAGGUAAGGCAACUUGACAGAGAGACUUUGUUAGUGACAUCAGUGCCUUCUUUUGCAGUAAAGUCUCCCAGGAGAUAACUUAAUACACAGUGACCUUUUUGGCCACAAUGGGAUUUUUCUUUAUGUUGCGGGCCUGUUUCAUAAUGUUCUCCACUGUGUGCUGUAAGAGAGAGGAGGAAGAUAUUUCCCUAAGAUCAUGAUAAGACCUAUUCAAGCUCAAUUACUAUUUCCAAAAGGCAACCUAGGAUGGUAUUAAACAGAUGGGCUUGUGUAAAAACAGUCAUUUGUGGUUUGCCUUCUCUGAUAUCCUAAAUAAUCC
Non-coding RNA from Pelobates cultripes (western spadefoot toad), 634 nucleotides. Lineage: Eukaryota; Metazoa; Chordata; Amphibia; Anura; Pelobatidae. The record is from the annotation of a GenBank genome assembly.